GAUGAACGCUGGCGGCGUGCUUAACACAUGCGAGUCGAACGGAAAGGCUCCUGCUUGCAGGGGUACUCGAGUGGCGAACGGGUGAGUAACACGUGGGUGAUCUGCCCUGCACUUCGGGAUAAGCCUGGGAAACUGGGUCUAAUACCGGAUAGGACGAUGGUUUGGAUGCCAUUGUGGAAAGUUUUUCGGUGUGGGAUGAGCUCGCGGCCUAUCAGCUUGUUGGUGGGGUAAUGGCCUACCAAGGCGUCGACGGGUAGCCGGCCUGAGAGGGUGUACGGCCACAUUGGGACUGAGAUACGGCCCAGACUCCUACGGGAGGCAGCAGUGGGGAAUAUUGCACAAUGGGCGCAAGCCUGAUGCAGCGACGCCGCGUGGGGGAUGACGGCCUUCGGGUUGUAAACUCCUUUCGCUAGGGACGAAGCGCAAGUGACGGUACCUGGAGAAGAAGCACCGGCUAACUACGUG
RNAcentral lists this ribosomal RNA (465 nucleotides) under uncultured bacterium. RNAcentral's name for it is "partial 16S ribosomal RNA". It matches the Rfam family "Bacterial small subunit ribosomal RNA", at positions 28 to 507 of the family's 1533-position model. The record is from RNAcentral.